GGGGUUUUUUUUUUCCCC
This 18-nucleotide unclassified non-coding RNA is filed under the name synthetic construct. RNAcentral's name for it is "RNA (5'-R(*GP*GP*GP*GP*UP*UP*UP*UP*UP*UP*UP*UP*UP*UP*CP*CP*CP*C)-3') from synthetic construct (PDB 5I9F, chain F)". The record is from RNAcentral.